This 953-nucleotide unclassified non-coding RNA is filed under the name Alexandrium tamarense. RNAcentral's name for it is "partial 5' external transcribed spacer". Lineage: Eukaryota; Dinophyceae; Gonyaulacales; Pyrocystaceae. The record is from RNAcentral.
ACAUGGGUAGCCGUCUAAGAGAAGUAUGUUGCGCAUGCAGCUUUGUCGUCCCUGACAAGAAUGGGUAAUAUCCCCAGCCAGACGUGAUACUGCAUCGUAACAUAAUGCAGGUUGUAAUGCAAUGGGAAGCCUUGGUAAGCGUUGCUUUUCUGUUAAUUGCUAUUACCCUGGAAUCAGAUUGCCUGAGAUAGGUUGAAAGCCAGCAAAGCACCUGUCUUCUGAGGUGUCUGUGUGCUUUAAAUGCCCUUGAAAAACCAAAUGAUGUUUAUGUGCAUGUGCAUGUGCACGNGCGCGUGUAUGUGUAUGUGUGUGUAAGCGCAUGCGUAUGUGCAUGCGUAUCUGUACAUGUAUGUGUAUGUGUGUGGUUGUGUGUGUGCGUGGAUGUGUGCAUGUGUAUGUGUAUGUGCGUGCGUAUGGGCCCGUGUAUGUGUAAUCGCCGCGGGCCGCCCCGGGGAGCCUGCUGCAAGCACUUUCUUAAACCAUCAGUUUUCCAAGUUCUGAACAGCAAACCUUUCAAAUUUAAAACAAAAUAUGCCGCGCAAUUGGAAAACGCAUUCGUUUCAGUACUGAAACCAUGUUGUUGUCGAGAACGCGUUUUUCAAACCGCCUUCAACCCACCAGCUUUUUUGCAAUUAUACCUAGGGGCGGGUGCCCAGGGAGUGGGGCAGAACCAUUUGUGCAUUAUUGGGUUGGUACCCAAUGGUGGCUGAGUGGUGUCUGUAUGUGCACUGCACAGUAUCUGGCUCUUGUUGGGUUACACAGUAAUGUGUGUGACAUUACUUGCAUACGAAUGCAUUGGUGCAGAUGUAUCAUGUGAACACCAGCUGGGUGGGGGACUGUGGAAUGAUAUACAGGUUGACACUUGCAGAUAUCAACAUCUGAUGAAGCAAUGUGAAUUGUGAUUGGCGUGGCAUCUAAAGCAGUACACCCUUGUACGUGCUUGCUGUUGUGAA